RNAcentral lists this ribosomal RNA (164 nucleotides) under uncultured bacterium. Its description in RNAcentral is "partial 16S ribosomal RNA". It matches the Rfam family "Bacterial small subunit ribosomal RNA", at positions 355 to 511 of the family's 1533-position model. The record is from RNAcentral.
UAGGGAAUCUUCCACAAUGGGCGAAAGCCUGAUGGAGCAACGCCGCGUGAGUGAAGAAGGGUUUCGGCUCGUAAAGCUCUGUUGUUAAAGAAGAACACGUAUGAGAGUAACUGUUCAUACGUUGACGGUAUUUAACCAGAAAGUCACGGCUAACUACGUGCCAG